This 3666-nucleotide unclassified non-coding RNA is filed under the name Hevea brasiliensis (rubber tree). The record is from RNAcentral. Lineage: Eukaryota; Viridiplantae; Streptophyta; Magnoliopsida; Malpighiales; Euphorbiaceae.
GGCAAUUUAGACUGUCUCCUCACUUUGAAAAGGACUCACCCCGCCUCUUGCCUCUCACUUGAGACCACAGGAUACCUUGUCACCUUAAUGUAGCCUCUCGCCUUAAUAAUAAUGAAAGAGAAGAAUAUUUGCCAAAAAAAUCAAACUAGAGAAACAAUGCUCCAUUAAUGAAAGAAAUUUCACAGCCCAAUUCUUAGUCACCAAGAACAGCUAAUGGAAGAGCUGAGUCUCCAAUAAAUAAGCUUGUAGUGUGUCAAACUCCCACACAUGCCACCCAAAAUAAAGACUUCACUCACCAAAACCAAGAUUCCCCACUCAUUCAUAAUCUCUAGUUCUCUAACUUUCUUUACACCUAACCCAUCAUCUACCAAGAAGCAUAAAACCUGUCUCGCUCUAUCAAGGCAAAAACAUGCCAUUUCCCAAACAAUUAUGAACACUCAAAAGCUAUUAAGAUCAACUAGAACUCUAUUUUAUUUAGUAUGACAUUAUGAGAUCAUCCUUUGAUGGCUACAAAAAGAUAAUGAUAUUCAAAGGAAAAACAUCUUAUAGUUUCCAAACCCAUAGAUUGCAACUUCAAUUCCAUUGAAGCUAAACAUCAAUGCUAAGUUGCAUAAAGGAGAAGAGCCCAGAGGUCAAAGAACAAGACCUAUCACCUAGAGAAAGUGAAGAGGAAUAAAGAAUUAGGGUUGAAGUUCUGCAUCAUCGUCCUAUCAAUACUAAUAUGGUUAAGCAAGAAUUGUGCCACAAAUUCAUCCUGGUCAAAGAAACAUAAACCAAGCUUCUUGCCUAAAAAAACAAUUGCGUAAAGUUUCAUUUCAUCAACCAAGGGGUAAAACAAAAGGCUUUGAGGGUGGUCUAAUUUUCUGUGUUGCGAAUUCAUCUGACUGCAUUAUCUUAUCAAUUUGGAUGCAAUAUGAUUCUUCUAGCUUCCUUUAUAUAGGUCUUCAAUUGCUUUAAAGUGCAAAGGGCAUAAAAUGAUGCACAAAUCAGAAUCCAAUUAGACCCAAUUCAAAAUGGUCAGCGCCUCCCUCCGAUUGCAUCAAAUAGAACACAGACAAUUCCACGUUAGGUCCACCCAGUCGAGGGGGCAUUGGUGGCAUUCUUCAAGACUGUGAUGGCAUUGCACUCUUUCCGUUCUCUUGUCCAAUGCAAAUAUCUAACUCUAAUGAAAUGGAACCCCUUGCUAUUCACAAAGUUUUACUCAUCUCAGCCCAGCAACUUCCUUCCUUCUCUCAAUACCAUGAGAUAAUUUUUGAGACCAACUCCAAAAUUGUUCUCUCUAGGCUAAUUGGUUCCUCAGAAGGUCCUAGAAGAUUAGCUACUUUGCUCAAUGAAAUCACCAAUUUCAUCUCACUUUUACCUAUAGUGACCUUUUGUCACACCUUGCGGAAAGCCAACCAUUUCACAGACUAGCUAGCAAAAUCAGAAGGUUGCCGCAACGAGGAUUUCUAUCUCCUUUAUAAAUUGCUUCUUGUUUCUUAUCAUGCUAUGCUUAUAUCUCUGUUUUGUUCUUUUGGGUGGCAGGUUAGUUUGUUAGACGGGUAUACUAAGAAUGGAUCUAUUUUUCAUAAGUUCUGCUAUCACUAGUCUUUCCCCUAUUCUCCUCUCCCUUUUAGUUUUUAAUCAAAUUCCAUUGCUUAUAAAAAAAAAAAUGUGAGUGUCAACCAGUCAUUCCACCUUUCUUACUUUUUUCUUCUUCCCACCACGAAUGAGUUUAGGAGAGAUAUCAAUCAAAUUCGUCAACUUGUUCUUUUUUUUUUCUUUUUGAUAAGUUGAAUUUUAUUGAAAACAAAAUAUAAAUAGCAAAAGAAGGUUAAGGGCUCAACAAUCUAACCCAUGUCAGCGAGCACCACCAUUACACCCGGUCCUAAGGAGCCCAAAACCAGCCAAAAAAAGUGACAGUACAAAGACACCAAUAGGAGAAAACAAACCAAAAAUGCUGCAAUAAAGAAGCAAAAUAUCGUAUAAAAAAACCUAAACAAAGUUUCACAUAAAAGCAAUUAAGUUUUCACUGCAAUUCAAUCCUUGCUUUGCCAAACCAUCAACAAUCGAAUUUGCUUCACAGAGAAUAUGAUUGAAUGAUACUUGUUCUUUUUCCUAUGUUUGAGGAGAUGGGACACUUUGAGGCUAGGCUUGUGGGCUCAAAGGGGACUAUAGAUAGAGAAGCAAACUUAUUUGGAUUUGGGUCACCUAUUGGCAGGCAUAUUUGGACCAGGAUAAGUGAGCGAUAGAGAUAAAGGGCUUAAGAUGCUUAAAGGUUAGCUAUACUUAAACAAUUCCAAAUUAAAACAAGGAGAAGUGCAGUUGGUGUCAUAUGGAUUCUUCGAGCAAAAUAAUCUAUGCUAAAUGGUCCUUGUGAUAAAGCUAACAAACAGAGGGUUAGCCUCAUGCAAGGGCUCUGAGUGAAUUGGAGAGAUGGGCGCAUGAUAGGGUGACGUGGAGGAAUCACCAAUCAAACAAGGCUCUAUAGGCAAUAAGUUUCUUGGACUUCCAUACACCAAGGUGGACACCAUAAGUGGUGGUGCUUUGCAAGCUUUCACAGAAAGAAAGGCCUCAUUAUGAUACUUGGUUGAACCAAUGUCCACAGCACACACUUUAUGGAGAAAAUCCAAUUUGGAUGUUGAGAUUAGGAUCCUUGCAGAAUCUAAUUUUCAUUUUUUUGAGGUGCAAUCGUCAAGGGCAAUGAACAUUAUACCUCGGUUACUAAAUAUAAAUUUAAAAAAAAAUAAUAAAAUGUGUUGCUUGCCCCCAAAAAAAUUAUAAAUUAAAAAUGAAUAUAAGUGGUAUUGGUGAAGUGUUAAAAAAUGUUGAGGGUCUUUUUUAUGCGUUUUCUCUUGUUCAGUGGGUGGGCAAAACUCUUAGCUAUUGCAAAGGCAAUCGACUUAAGUUUACAGAUGUUGGAAAGAAUGGGAAAUAUUUGUGAGCUAGUUGUUGAAUCUGAUUCCAAAUCUGCCACUUCUUGGAUUACAAAGCCGAAUGAAGCUCCCUGGAAAUUCUCUUUGAUUAUUAACUCCAUCCUAGUAGGAGUUCAGCAGUUGACUCAGGUUAGUUUUGUCCACAUACCUCACAAGGCCAAUUCUGUAGCAAAUGCUCUUGCAAAGCAGGGAGUGGAUGGACAUUCAGACUUUGUUGCAUUCAUCUAAUUGAAUUAUUAGUUCAUUACUUUAGUAGACCUUUGCAUUUGCUGGUUGUGUUCUUAGUUUGCUAUAAAUGUGUUUUGUUAUACUUUUUGUUUGGUUUGCAAUAGGUCUUGUUGAGGUUUGGAGGCUUUUGUUGUGAUUUUUUCAUGAGAGUUUGUAGCAAUUUGCUGCAGCUCUUGGUUUUGUGGCUGCCUAGACCUUUGGUUUUGCUCUCCUAGCAUUUGUUCGGUUGUGUUUCCUGGACUUUUGUUUAUUUUCUUUUGCAAUGCAAUUUUGGUGCUGUCUUAUUAGUGGAUUUUCUACCUUUCUUUCAAGAUUUUUCACUUAGCAUGCCAUUACCUAGUUUAGGUGCAUCAGGGGAAGCCUAUCGGCUUGAUUUAAUUAGUGAUGUCCAUGCUAAGUUUUUCUUGGAUACUUUUAUUAAUAAAAUAUUGCUUAUAAAAAAAUGAAUAUAAAGAAUAAAAUACCUACAAAAUAUAUGUAAAUAAAUUCUUAUAAGAUGAAAAUUAUAUUAAUGAUAUUUGUG